CAAUAGCGUAUACUAAUGUUGCUGCAGUUAAAAAGCUCGUAGUCGAAUUUCUGCCCGUCGUCUCUGGGCAUGCUUAACAUAAGCAUUGCUCCGGAUCCGGCGACGGGCAUCAUCCUGUUGGCGUGCUCCACCUUUAAUUAGGUUGGUGUGUUGUCACAGGUCAUUUACUGUGAACAAAGGAGAGUGUUCAAGGCAGGCAGUCACGCCUGAAUCUUUUAGCAUGGAAUAAUAAGAUAGAACUUUAGUUGUAUUUUGUUGGCUGAACAACCAAAGUAAUGAUCGAUAGGGAUAGUUGGGGGUGCUCAUAUUCAUUGGGGAGCGGUGAAAUGCGUUGAUCCUUUGGAGAUGAACUAAUGCGAAAGCAUUCACCAAGGAUAUCUUCUUUG
This 386-nucleotide ribosomal RNA is filed under the name uncultured eukaryote. RNAcentral describes it as "partial 18S ribosomal RNA". It matches the Rfam family "Eukaryotic small subunit ribosomal RNA", at positions 592 to 975 of the family's 1831-position model. The record is from RNAcentral.